CUACAGGCUUAACACAUGCAAGUCGAGGGGCAUCAGGGUGUAGCAAUACACCGCUGGCGAGCGGCGCACGGGUGAGUAACACGUAUCCAACCUAGCCCUUUACUCGGGGAUAGCCUUAUCGAAAGAAAGAUUAAUACCCGAUGGCAUAACAUGACCUCCUGGUUUUGUUAUUAAAGAAUUUCGGUAGAGGAUGGGGAUGCGUUCCAUUACGCAGUUGGCGGGGUAACGGCCCACCAAACCUUCCAUGGAUAGGGGUUCUGAGAGGAAGGUCCCCCACAUUGAAACUGACACACGGUCCAAACUCCUACGGGAGGCAGCAGUGAGGAAUAUUGGUCAAUGGGCGAGAGCCUGAACCAGACAAGUAGCGUGAAGGAUGACCGCCCUAUGGGUUGUAAACUUCUUUUAUAUGGGAAUAAAGUUUGCCACGUGUGGCAUUUUGUAUGUACCAUAUGAAUAAGGAUCGGCUAACUCCGUGCCAGCAUCCGCGGUAAUACGGAGGAUCCGAGCGCUAUCCGGAUUUAUUGGGGUUAAAGGGAGCGUACGUGGACAUGUAAGUCACUUGUGAAAGCUUGCGGCUCAACCGAAUCAUUGCAGGUGAU
Molecule: ribosomal RNA, 599 nt
Filed under: uncultured organism
Description: SSU rRNA
Rfam family: Bacterial small subunit ribosomal RNA
Source: RNAcentral